CACUCCUACGGGAGGCAGCAGUGGGGAAUAUUGCACAAUGGGCGCAAGCCUGAUGCAGCCAUGCCGCGUGUAUGAAGAAGGCCUUCGGGUUGUAAAGUACUUUCAGCAGUGAGGAAGGUGGGUAUGUUAAUAGCAUACUCAUUUGACGUUAGCUGCAGAAGAAGCACCGGCUAACUCCGUGCCAGCAGCCGCGGUAAUACGGAGGGUGCGAGCGUUAAUCGGAAUUACUGGGCGUAAAGCGCAUGCAGGUGGUUUGUUAAGUCAGAUGUGAAAGCCCGGGGCUCAACCUCGGAAUUGCAUUUGAAACUGGCAAACUAGAGUACUGUAGAGGGGGUAGAAUUUCAGGUGUAGCGGUGAAAUGCGUAGAGAUCUGAAGGAAUACCGGUGGCGAAGGCGGCCCCCUGGACAGAUACUGACACUCAGAUGCGAAAGCGUGGGGAGCAAACAGGAUUAGAUACCCUGGUAG
RNAcentral lists this ribosomal RNA (466 nucleotides) under uncultured bacterium. RNAcentral describes it as "bacterial SSU rRNA". It matches the Rfam family "Bacterial small subunit ribosomal RNA", at positions 334 to 793 of the family's 1533-position model. The record is from RNAcentral.